RNAcentral lists this long non-coding RNA (973 nucleotides) under Medicago truncatula (barrel medic). Its description in RNAcentral is "long non-coding RNA (MTRU_LNC001051)". Lineage: Eukaryota; Viridiplantae; Streptophyta; Magnoliopsida; Fabales; Fabaceae. The record is from RNAcentral.
ACCUAAGACAGCACUGACACGUGUCAUUUAACUCCGACCGGUCUCAGCCUUUCGAGCAAAAAUUUCGGCAGGGAGGUAUUUUAAAAUACCUCAUAGUUGAUUCCGAGUCGGGCCCUCUUCUCUCAAUUUUCAUUUAAUUUUAAUUUCCAUCUUUUAUUAACUUUAAAUUCAUUUUUUUUUUAACCUUUAUUUUAUCUUGUUUUUGUUUUAUUUAUUUUUAGUCCUUUUAUUUUAUUUUUAAUGUCUAAAAUAAAUCAAAAUUUUUGUCCGAUAAUAUCCAAACACAGCUCAAAACAGGCUGUCAUAUUCCUCUCCAAGCAACAAAUUUUUUGCUCAUCUCAAGCUCUAUAAAGGCAACACGCAAGCAGCCAAGAGAAGGGGGGGCCCAACAGACAAAAACACAGAAUUUAAAAUCGCAAAAACUGCAAACAACAGAUCUUUCACAAAACUGAAUCCGAACCGUUUUCAGAACCGCAUCACCAUAACCACACAAACUCAGGCCAAAAUCAUCAAAAACCUUACUACACAAUCAACCAUUCAAAUCAGCCAGGUUCAACCUCAAACAUCCACAAAUCCAGCACCACCCUUAUAAACCCGUAAUCCCAAAUCAAUUUCACACAAAACCGAACCAUCACAACUCAAAUCAAACCAACCGUGAAACACCAUCAACAAACCAACACAGAUCCAGAUCAAAAAAAAGAAACAAUAAAAAGGUAGUAACCCUUUUUGUAGAUCUAGGGUCCGUUAAACCUCAUUUCAAAAAAAACGUUUCCAAAAAAGAAAGGAGAAGGGAAAGGGUAAUCUUUUGGUAAAAAAAAAAUAAAAAAAGGAGGAGUUUUUAACUCCGGCGCGGUGGCGCCGCCGCGAAAACUCGCCGGCCACCGCGCCGGAACCACCCCCGGUGGCCUCUCCUCGUCGGAGAAGAUGAAGCAAUUCUAGAGAGAAGGCAGAGCCUCUCUCUCUAGAAAUAAGA